Molecule: ribosomal RNA, 241 nt
Filed under: uncultured bacterium
Lineage: Bacteria
Description: partial 16S ribosomal RNA
Rfam family: Bacterial small subunit ribosomal RNA
Source: RNAcentral
CCGGGCGCACGGGUGAGUAACGCGUAUGCAACUUACCUAUCAGAGGGGGAUAACCCGGCGAAAGUCGGACUAAUACCGCAUGAAGCAGGGAUCCCGCAUGGGAAUAUUUGCUAAAGAUUCAUCGCUGAUAGAUAGGCAUGCGUUCCAUUAGGCAGUUGGCGGGGUAACGGCCCACCAAACCGACGAUGGAUAGGGGUUCUGAGAGGAAGGUCCCCCACAUUGGUACUGAGACACGGACCAA